RNAcentral lists this long non-coding RNA (223 nucleotides) under Bos indicus x Bos taurus (hybrid cattle). Its description in RNAcentral is "lncRNA (ENSBIXG00005006546.1)". Lineage: Eukaryota; Metazoa; Chordata; Mammalia; Artiodactyla; Bovidae. The record is from RNAcentral.
CUUGGUGCUCUGCUUCUACUGAUAUUCUGAGGCUUCAAACAUCCUGUGGAAUCUCAACCAUCAAAAUUGGAAAGGUUAGCUAGAAAACUAGAAGAGUGUUUCCGUUACAAGAAAGAUAGUGACAAAGAGUCAAAAGAGACUCCAAAUACUUCCUUGGGGUAAGUAUCUCCAAUAUUAAUUACAUUUUAAACAGCUAAUUGUAUUAUUAGAAACCAAUUUGGUU